GACGAACGCUGGCGGCGUGCUUAACACAUGCAAGUCGAACGGAAAGGCCCUGCUUGCAGGGUACUCGAGUGGCGAACGGGUGAGUAACACGUGGGUGAUCUGCCCUGCACUUCGGGAUAAGCUUGGGAAACUGGGUCUAAUACCGGAUAGGAGCCAUCUUUAGUGUGGUGGUUGGAAAGUUUUUUCGGUGUAGGAUGAGCUCGCGGCCUAUCAGCUUGUUGGUGGGGUAAUGGCCUACCAAGGCGGCGACGGGUAGCCGGCCUGAGAGGGUGUACGGCCACAUUGGGACUGAGAUACGGCCCAGACUCCUACGGGAGGCAGCAGUGGGGAAUAUUGCACAAUGGGCGCAAGCCUGAUGCAGCGACGCCGCGUGGGGGAUGAAGGCCUUCGGGCUGUAAACUCCUUUCGCUAGGGACGAAGCUUUUUUGUGACGGUACCUAGAUAAGAAGCACCGGCUAACUACGUG
This 466-nucleotide ribosomal RNA is filed under the name uncultured bacterium. RNAcentral describes it as "partial 16S ribosomal RNA". It matches the Rfam family "Bacterial small subunit ribosomal RNA", at positions 28 to 507 of the family's 1533-position model. The record is from RNAcentral.